This 504-nucleotide ribosomal RNA is filed under the name uncultured bacterium. Its description in RNAcentral is "partial 16S ribosomal RNA". It matches the Rfam family "Bacterial small subunit ribosomal RNA", at positions 30 to 523 of the family's 1533-position model. The record is from RNAcentral.
AUUGAACGCUGGCGGCAGGCCUAACACAUGCAAAUCGGGCGGUAGCACAGAGAGCUUGCUCUCGGGUGACGAGCGGCGGACGGGUGAGUAAUGUCUGGGAAACUGCCUGAUGGAGGGGGAUAACUACUGGAAACGGUAGCUAAUACCGCAUAACGUCGCAAGACCAAAGAGGGGGACCUUCGGGCCUCUUGCCAUCAGGUGUGCCCAGAUGGGAUUAGCUAGUAGGUGGGGUAACGGCUCACCUAGGCGACGAUCCCUAGCUGGUCUGAGAGGAUGACCAGCCACACUGGAACUGAGACAGGGUCCAGACUCCUACGGGAGGAAGCAGUGGGGAAUAUUGCGCAAUGGGCGCAAGCCUGAUGCAGCCAUGCCGCGUGUAUGAAGAAGGCCUUCGGGUUGUAAAGUACUUUCAGCGGGGAGGAAGGCGAUAAGGUUAAUAACCUUGUCGAUUGACGUUACCCGCAGAAGAAGCACCGGCUAACUCCGUGCCAGCCGCCGCCGUAA